CUACGGAGGGUGCAAGCGUUACUCGGAAUCACUGGGCGUAAAGCGCGCGCAGGCGGAUUGGCAAGUUGGAUGUGAAAGCCUGCGGCUCAACCGCAGAACUGCAUCCAAAACUGUCAGUCUAGAGUCUGGGAGAGGUAGCUGGAAUUAGUGGUGUAGGGGUAAAAUCCGUAGAGAUCACUAGGAAUACCGAAAGCGAAGGCGAGCUACUGGAACAGUACUGACGCUGAGGCGCGAAAGCGUGGGGAGCAAACAGGAUUAGAAACCCUAGUAGUCC
This 274-nucleotide ribosomal RNA is filed under the name uncultured bacterium. Its description in RNAcentral is "partial 16S ribosomal RNA". It matches the Rfam family "Bacterial small subunit ribosomal RNA", at positions 523 to 796 of the family's 1533-position model. The record is from RNAcentral.